Molecule: long non-coding RNA, 1402 nt
Organism: Daphnia magna
Lineage: Eukaryota; Metazoa; Arthropoda; Branchiopoda; Diplostraca; Daphniidae
Exons: 4
Source: RefSeq, a predicted model, not a curated record
UUCGUCUAUGAAAGGUCAUUGAACGAGAUUGGGUCAAAAGAACGGCCAUACCUCUGAAAUCACGUGGAAAUCUUUCGACCUUCAAAAUUAUGUUCCUCUACCCUCAACUUUUAUUCCGGGAAACCAGAAUGCAGAACGUGUCAACGUGUAUAUAAGGCGGUAACCAACUCUUUAUUUCACAAUCGUGCAAGGGUCUUCCACUGCAUCUGUACUGUUGCUUCAACACCAUCUCAGGACGCUUCGCUUGCUUGUUUUUUACAGGCCCCUUCAGUGCUGAAUUCCGACACCGAUCUUGUGGGACUUGCCAUUCGUAGUCAACUAUAAUUCAAUCAUCCUUUUGAAAAUUCCUUGUUGUUGGAUUGGAUCCAUCAAUUCUGGUUAAUUACCAACGUACCCGAGGAUAGAAAGUGUGGUGGAUUCUAAGGAGCGUCGAUCUACCGAUAUCAUGUCCCUGCCAAGUCAAAGACAAUCAGUUCCGCAAAAGCGUAUCUGAUCAAAAUGCGAGUUCGGUCGCCACGGUGAGCUUAGUGUUCAUUUACUAAAAGACGCCAUCGGAUGCAAAACGGCCUUCCACACUAGAGAAAAGUCGUACCAAGAGGGAGAGGAAUAUUUAUCACUGAAAGUUUUACUUUGGACACAAAAGCAGGAAAGGUACAUUCUACGACGAUUCACGUCUACGCUUGUUGCUUGGACGAAAAGAACAAAGGAUUUUUGAUUCUGCAUAAAAUAUACAACUUAAAACCGAAAGGAUACGCCUUAAUUUAGGGCUCGGCCCCACGAUGUUCGGGCACGAUCGUCGCGAUCAGAUUAAGCCUUAAUCUGAUGUCUUUGUACUAUUAUGAGAAUCGACACAAACAAACAGCAGUUUUUUUUAUAAAUGCUAUUACAGGAGCAAAUUCCAAGAACUGCUAUUUGAAAAUCUCAAUGAAUUUUUUCUUGUCUACUUUCUUGAUUGACCGCCUGAAAUUCAUUUUCCAUGCUGAAUAACUGUUAGUUCUUAGGGCUUGUAUCCAAUCUUGCCUACCUGUUGAGUAUGUAACAAAGUAAUAUUAGUUUCUGGGUGUGCUUGUUGCCCCCUAUUUUAUUAGCCUCAAUUGUAGAAUGUUAGUGUACAAAACUGCCCAGCAUGUAAAUGUCACUGUAAAAUUUAUAAAAAUAAGAUUAUUAAGCAUUUAAGUAUUAGGAAAAGAACAAGCAUUAAGACCAGUGUAGGUUUACUUGCUUAUUUAAUUACUUUAUUAACUUUCUUGCUCUUAGAUUUGUGAUGAUUUCCCAUUACGUUUUUGGCUUUGUUGUUAUAGUAUGACCAUCAUAUUGUUACCAGAGUCACAAUACUAUUUCCUUAUACCUUGUUUUGAUCACAUAGACGCCAAAGUUAAGACGUUCAUGACCAAACAUAUUU